RNAcentral lists this ribosomal RNA (315 nucleotides) under Enterococcus faecium. Its description in RNAcentral is "partial 16S ribosomal RNA". It matches the Rfam family "Bacterial small subunit ribosomal RNA", at positions 1228 to 1533 of the family's 1533-position model. The record is from RNAcentral. Lineage: Bacteria; Bacillati; Bacillota; Bacilli; Lactobacillales; Enterococcaceae.
CAAUGGGAAGUACAACGAGUUGCGAAGUCGCGAGGCUAAGCUAAUCUCUUAAAGCUUCUCUCAGUUCGGAUUGCAGGCUGCAACUCGCCUGCAUGAAGCCGGAAUCGCUAGUAAUCGCGGAUCAGCACGCCGCGGUGAAUACGUUCCCGGGCCUUGUACACACCGCCCGUCACACCACGAGAGUUUGUAACACCCGAAGUCGGUGAGGUAACCUUUUUGGAGCCAGCCGCCUAAGGUGGGAUAGAUGAUUGGGGUGAAGUCGUAACAAGGUAGCCGUAUCGGAAGGUGCGGCUGGAUCACCUCCUUUCUAAGGAA